UGCAGUCGACGAUGACGGUGGUGCUUGCACCGCCUGAUUAGUGGCGAACGGGUGAGUAACACGUGAGUAACCUGCCCUCCACUUCGGGAUAACCUCGGGAAAUCGUGGCUAAUACCGGAUAUGAGCACUCAUCGCAUGGUGGGUGCUGGAAAGAUUUAUCGGUGGGGGAUGGACUCGCGGCCUAUCAGUUUGUUGGUGAGGUGAUGGCUCACCAAGACGAUGACGGGUAGCCGGCCUGAGAGGGCGACCGGCCACACUGGGACUGAGACACGGCCCAGACUCCUACGGGAGGCAGCAGUGGGGAAUAUUGCACAAUGGGCGAAAGCCUGAUGCAGCGACGCCGCGUGGGGGAUGACGGCCUUCGGGUUGUAAACCCCUUUCAGUAGGGAAGAAGCGAGAGUGACGGUACCUGCAGAAGAAGCGCCGGCUAACUACGUGCCAGCAGCCGCGGUAAUACGUAGGGCGCAGGCGUUGUCCGGAAUUAUUGGGCGUAAAGAGCUUGUAUGUGGCUUGUCGCGUCUGCCGUGAAAACCCGAGGCUCAACCUCGGGCGUGCGGUGCGUACGGGCAGGCUAGAGUGUGGUAGGGGAGACUGGAACUCCUGGUGUAGCGGUGAAAUGCGCAGAUAUCACGAAGAACACCGAUGGCGAAUGCAGGUCUCUGGGCCAUUACUGACACUGAGAAGCGAAAGCAUGGGUAGCGAACAGGAUUAGAUACCCUGGUAGUCCAUGCCGUAAACGUUGGGCACUAUGUGUGGGGGACAUUCCACGUUUUCCGCGCCGUAGCU
This 786-nucleotide ribosomal RNA is filed under the name Brachybacterium conglomeratum. RNAcentral describes it as "bacterial SSU rRNA". It matches the Rfam family "Bacterial small subunit ribosomal RNA", at positions 56 to 853 of the family's 1533-position model. The record is from RNAcentral. Lineage: Bacteria; Bacillati; Actinomycetota; Actinomycetes; Micrococcales; Dermabacteraceae.